ACACCACUGCGAGUUUGUUCAAUAUCUGGAAGUAACGAUCAAGCAACAAUUCCAACUGUUGCAAAUUGACGAAUUCGAGCUAGCCGCCAUCAAAACGUUGCUCCUGCUUUCAUGCUCCUAUCCAAAACCGGAAAUAUUCGCCGAGUUUAAAGGCACCAUGCAGAAGCUCAAGAACAAGUGCUUUGCCGAGCUGAUGUCCUACCUGACUGUGAAGCUUCCGGCGACACACGCCGAACGAUUUGGAAAGCUGAUUUUGGUGAUGGGCGAGAUUCGGGCGGCGGUGAAGGUUCUGUAUAACCAUACAAAAGUCUCCGAUUUGUUUGAUCCAUCUAAAUUUAAUAUGUUUGUUCGGAGCUUUUUAUUGACUUGA
This 370-nucleotide unclassified non-coding RNA is filed under the name Caenorhabditis elegans. RNAcentral's name for it is "Non-coding transcript of protein-coding gene nhr-270". Lineage: Eukaryota; Metazoa; Nematoda; Chromadorea; Rhabditida; Rhabditidae. The record is from RNAcentral.